GCGCAAAUGGUUUAGUGGUAAAAUCCAUCGUUGCCAUUAGCAAAACUCGAUGGGCCCCCGGUUCGAUUCCGGGUUUGCGCA
Non-coding RNA from Gnomoniopsis smithogilvyi, 81 nucleotides. The record is from the annotation of a GenBank genome assembly. Lineage: Eukaryota; Fungi; Ascomycota; Sordariomycetes; Diaporthales; Gnomoniaceae.